AUGGCGGUGUCUUGGCGGCAUUACUUUGUUGUUUGUUGGGAGCAUCGUGCGGGGAGACAUGACUUGAAGGUUUCAUGUUGCGGUUCUUCGGUGCUCGUCGCGGGUCCAGAUAAAUCUUUAUCGGCGCAAUAUCGUGCGUGCGUACGAGCGAGGCCUCCUGCCCUCGAGCGCCUAUUGACACACGCCCUAGAUCAGAUCCCGCCGACGACUGCCCCUCCUCAGCGUCCUCCCGCCGCCCUCCCCUUCGAUCUGAUCUCCUUCGCACCCCGCCGUCGCCGGCGACUCCUCGGCGCCUCGCCGUCGCCGGCGACUCCUCGGCGCCUCGCCGUCGCCGUCACAUCAGACGCCGGCCACUCCUCCACGGCCUCACGCUGUCGUCCUCUCCUUCGCAAGGAACACCCGACCCUUCCUCCGCGGCCUUGUGACGCCGACUACUCCUUCGUGGCCUCACGCCGCCCUCCUCUCCCUCCUUCCUUCAGACUCAACGUCGGCGCAGCAGCAACAGUCCUUGCGACGGUGGGUGCCGGAGCUUGUCAAGCAACUCACCGUCGGCGGCCACGACUACCUCAUUCCCUGCCGUGCGUCUCCGUCAACUACUGUGGCAUUGACGACAGCGAGCUAGGAGCCUACGAGGUAGACGCCCUGUUGACUGUGUCGUCAAGGCCUCCACAUGGCUCCUCUUGCGGCAGACUGCUGGUUGUUUGUCAUGUCCUUGAUCACCCUAAUUUAAUCCAAGUCAGGGUGACCCAGAAGUUCCCUUUCAUCAGCAGUUACAGAGCAUUCAGAGUUCCGAGCUCUGUCGACGUCGCCAGCCUUGUGAAAUGCCAACUCGUCGCUUCUUUCGGUGGUAAUUCUCGAUUCUUUGCACCCUUACAUGCAGAUUCAGAGAUGAGUGUCAAAUUCUUCAGACAAGUUCUGAGACAGAGCAAGAUCCUUACAUACUACUUGUGUGCAGCUGACGGGAAACACGUAGAUGUUACUGGACUGCAAUUACCCGGCGUGCUGGAUGACAUGUUUGCAUACACAGGACCGCUCGGUGCGGUUUUCAGCAAGGACUCUGUGAGCCUGCACCUUUGGGCUCCUACAACACAGGUUUGGCUUCUAAAGACGACACAUUUUACCAUCUCAAGUGUCGCCUCCGGUUCUGUACUAUUCCCGCUUAUAUGUAAAAUGUCCCCAAUAUAUCUUGCAAGAUGUGAGUGUGUGGUUCUUGGAUGGUUCGCCGGCCCUGCUCUAGAGACGGUGCAGCUCAAGGAGUCAAAUGCUGGUGACCUUUAUGCUAGAGGCCUUUCUGCAAAUGGAGCGCGAACCUGGUUGGUUGACAUUAACAAUGAAACAUUGAAGCCAGCUUCCUGGGAUGAAUUGGCCGAUGAGAAGCCAAAACUUGAUUCCUGCUUUGACAUAACCAUCUACGAAUUGCACAUUCGUGAUUUUAGGCCUCGGCAGGAAUGUUUGACUCAUGUGCAUUUGUUGCCAAGCUUUCAUUUUGCUGGCGUUGACGACAUUAAGAGCAACUGGAAAUUUUUCGAUGAGUGUGAACUAGCAACAUUCCCUCCAGGAUCAGAUAUGCAACAAGCAGCAGUAGUAGCUAUUCAGGAAGAGGACCCUUUUAAUUGGGGAGAUGCAGACGAGAGGAAGAGAGCCUCCCCCAAGCUAUGUCUAGGCGAUGCACAGGCGACGGCCACCCUUCCUGUUAUUGCCUCCAUGGCUGACUGCUCAUCCUCAGUAACCUCCCCCCCUCACGUGCGCCACACUCUGGGAUUAAGUUUAUCAAUCAUGCAAUUUGUUGUUAGCAACAUGUACCAGAUUUUGAUAGGUGAAUUAUCGCAAGUUAGUCCCGUGUUGAUCAUCUUCAAAGAACAGAAAACGUUGCGAGCCGAAUGCGUCAUCGACGAGGAGGUGAGUUUGGAUUUGGACGGUGAAGAUGAGAAGAUAGUUGGGGAGGAAGAAGGUGGUGGCAUAAAUGGGGUGGUUGUGCUGCAUGUCCAAGGCUGCACUAGGGAGGCGCGAGCGGUGCCUCCCGCAAGAUUCCAUUGGGGCGACGCAUGGGCGGCAGCCACCCCCAAGACCCUGCAUGUUGCAACCACUAACAAGUCCAGUCACCAUCACAUGUUUACUGCGUGGAUUCCAUAUUUGUCACAAUAUUGGCAUAAUCGACAUGUAUCGUUCUCCGCCGCCCUCCCAUCGAUCUGCGGCCGAUCCCUGCGGAGCUUCCCUUCCCAAUCCGAUCUGACGGAGAGAGUGCCAGAUCCGGCCGGGAGAGCCGCUGUAGAGCCUCCACGUCGGUGGAGCAGCACCUCCUGCCACGGGCGCCGCCGCCACCUCCUGCCUCACGACCCUUUGCCGCGACUCCGCCCCCAAGCGCCGCUCCCGCACGCAACCCGAACCCUAUCCCGCCAUGCUUCGCUGCCUCGCCGCUUGAACCGCGCUGAUGGAGCCCGAGCAGCGGUGGCCGACCCCGUCGCCGCCGCCGAGCCUGUGGACGAGGAGAAGGAGAAGGAGGAGGAGACAGAGGCGGCCGAGGACGAGGAGGACACGCUGCUGGACCGCGCGCAGCCUGAUCUCACGGGUCCCUUUGCACAUGUGCAGUUCGUCAAUGGACCAAUGCCUAAUCUCCCCAAGGUUGAUGUUUCACUGGACCCGGUGAAGGAGUUGAGCAGACCAGGUUAUUUUACGAGGGUUGUGUGCACUGAACCCCAUUUCUCUGGACCAAGGGACGAUGAACAAGAUGGGAAUGAGGAGGAUGCUACUAAUCCGGAGUAGUAAUAUUGGAUUACAGGUCAUGGGUUAGUAGUUAACUGCAGAAAUCAGAAUAUUGGAUAGCAGUAACUAAGGCCAUUGGCAAUUUCUUUCAUAUAUCAUAAUUUAUUUGUGUAAUUCCUUUACCAACUACAUGUUUCUAUUUGUUUCCUAUAUUUUGUUUGUUCCUGAAUAUUUUAUGAAUUGUGUAUUUCUAUUUUAAUACAUAAGACUCUUUUUCAUGCAAUUUACUCAAUGGCCUAUAUGAGAAGCCCUAAAUAAAGCUAUUCCUCAUUUGUACGCUUUCUUACUUAUAUAGAUCAAAAUAUGGAAUUCUCUGCAGGUUAACUAAUACAUGCAUCAGCUUUGUAUCAUAAAGAUUUCACCAUCCCAAGGUAAUGGAAAUAAGUUCACAAGAUUCUCAUGUUGAGGUCUGUACAAAGAGAUACAAGGCAAUGUCUGUGUGCUGGAAGGAGAAACUCACUGCCAAAGCUAUAAUCCCUGAUGCUAAAGCCUGCAUGUUCAGAUCUGCAGAGUUUACUCAUAUUACUGUAUGAAUGAUUAAUACAGAGGGAGCCCUUUUGUCAGGUCAUUUAAUCAUUAAAUCAUACGUACAUUAUCUCAGGUAACUUACUACUACCUUUGUUCGAAAAUAAGUGCCGUUAACUUAGUACACCUUUGCACUAAAAUUGUACUAAAUCCGUGACACUUAUUUUGGGACAGAGGGAGUAUUUCAUUUUCUACCUGAACCAAGUUGUUAUUUCAUUUCUAAGAGGCAAAGAGUUCCUCAUGGUUAGUUUGCCACAUUUUAUAUGUCUAUCUAUGUGCAUUACUAAUUCACUAUAUGCACCUUUAGUUCCCAGUUUUGGCUCACUUUCUUGAUGCAUCUCGGAUGAGAGGAAAGGAAUGGAUAAUCUGACAAGCAAUGUUCGGGCAUACCCUUAUAUUUACGUCUGAUGAAAUGCUGCGGGUGCAAACUAAUCAAGACUGCUGCCAUGAGCAAAAGAGCAGACAUUACUUAUGAGAAAACAAUAAAAGAAUCUUCCGUGACUACAUACCACGACGAGUCAAAGACGAUGAAAGCACUACUCCAUUGGUGGUGUUAGCAAGUGGAGUCUGGAGGGAGAACAACACAAAGUAGGAAAUUGAUUCCCUCGCCCUUGCUUGCUUCAACGACCCCGUCCGUCUUGGUGGGGUCGAUUCCCCCAUCGCCCGACUCAUCUCCGACGAGUAUGGCGUCAGUGGGUACGCCCCGCCGUUCGUAUGCUUGGCGGGUCCCAGAACACCCGUGACGUGUAUGAGCUUGACUAGGGCGAGGGGCUCGUGCUCGUGCUCGAGCUCGACAAGACGCACUUCGAUCUCGUCACCAACUACGAGCUGGACUGUGAGACUCCAGAGCAGGCGGGGGCGACGAAGACGAAAGUGGGGGCAGUUCGAGCUUGUCGCUGCCGGAGACCCUGGAGAGGUGCGCGAAGAGACCUGGUUAGAUUUGUUGGCCACCACUGGUAAACUGCACUAAUAACAAAUCGGAUGUCAUCUCUCAUGUUGCCGAUUCAACCCUGGACGAUGUUGCGCGGCCAUGGACGAUGUGCUGUUGGACAACGAUG
RNAcentral lists this ribosomal RNA (4346 nucleotides) under Triticum aestivum (bread wheat). RNAcentral describes it as "partial small subunit ribosomal RNA". The record is from RNAcentral. Lineage: Eukaryota; Viridiplantae; Streptophyta; Magnoliopsida; Poales; Poaceae.